Molecule: RNA transcript, 3157 nt
Organism: Drosophila miranda
Lineage: Eukaryota; Metazoa; Arthropoda; Insecta; Diptera; Drosophilidae
Gene name: cullin-4A
Exons: 12
Source: RefSeq, a predicted model, not a curated record
UCGGACGGUCUAUUUUAACGAUAAGUCCGCGGUCUCACUGACCACAAAGCAAUAUAUUUUCCGCAUGCAACUACAAUUUUAUUAACGAAAGGCCAAUUAUUAUUACAUUGGUGAUUCGAUCCGGGUAGCCUCUAACAAAUUGCUGAACAUUUGGUACAAAAGAAAACACCCAAUUGUGUCACAGCACAGUUCCGGACCGAGAAGAGAAGCACAGCACCUUCCUUCGCCUUGAGGUUGCGAGCUGUCAAUUUGUUGUCGGCAAGUGAGAAAGUCGUGAAAAAUAUCACUGCAACACGAGUGGGUGCCGAAAAAGUCCUUGCAAAGGACAACAGGGAGACGACCGACCGGUACAAAGAGGCAGCUGACUGGAACGGUAAGGGUUAAAGGCAGACGAGUUCACCCCUGCAGUGGGCAGUGGGCAUCAGUGCGUCCGAAAUAUGAGUGCUGCUAAAAAGUAUAAGCCUAUGGAUACCACAGAGCUGCACGAGAACACCGAGAAUAUUGCUGCUUGCCUGAAAAAGGCUGAAAGUGCCGCCGCCUUAUUGAUGGGCCGCAGUGCCUUUGCUGCCCAAAACAUGAACUCAUCGUCCACAAACGGCGAACGCCUGCCAAAUUUCUCCAAGCUUGGUUCGAACCAUGGCGAGAUUCGAUCGGCAUCAACUACCUCAAACUUACUUAAUCGCACGGGGGCCAUCCACAACAGCAAGCCUGGCGAUGUCAAAAAGAUAGUGAUUAAGAACUUCAAAGAUAAACCCACACUGCCCGAUAACUAUUCCGAGGACACGUAUGUGAAGCUCGAGGAGGCCGUUAUCGCCAUACAACUAUCGAAGCCCAUUAAAUAUUCACUAGAGGAGCUCUACCAGGCCGUUGUGAAUAUGUGCAGUCAUAAAAUGGACGCCCAGCUGUAUACGAAGCUCAAGGAGCUGACCGAACAACAUGUGAAGCGCAAUAUCAAGCUGAAGGAGCUCACUGGGGGCAGCAUGGACAAGCUGGUGCUGCUGGAGAAAAUCAACAACUGGUGGCUCUCGUUCUGCCAGCAGAUGAUCAUGAUACGCAGCAUCUUCUUGUACAUGGAUCGCACCUAUGUUUUACAAAACUCAUUUAUCCACUCAAUAUGGGACAUGGGGCUGGACCUCUUUCGCAUACACUUUGCUCAGAAUAGCGUCGUCCAGAAGCGUACGGUCGAUGGUCUCUUGACGCUGAUUGAAAAAGAACGACAGGGCGCGUCUGUGGACCGCGGUCUGCUCAAGAGUUUGGUACGGAUGCUGUGCGAUCUUCAGAUCUACUCCAGUUCGUUCGAGGAGAAGUUCCUCGACGCCACCAAUCAACUGUACAAGGCUGAGAGUCAACGUAUGAUGCAGGACCUGGAGGUGCCCGGCUACCUGCAGCACGUUAGCAUGCGUCUGGCCGAGGAACAUGAGCGCUUGCUGCACUAUUUGGACUCGAGCACAAAGCAUCCGCUUAUAUACAAUGUAGAGAAGGAGCUGCUGGCCGAACACCUAACGGCCAUACUGCAAAAGGGUCUGGACUCGUUGCUGGAGGACAACAGAUGGGUCGAACUAACAAUGCUAUACGGUCUGCUUAGCCGUGUCAAAAACGGCACAUCAGAGCUGUGCGGAAACUUUAACGGAUACAUUAAGAAAAAGGGACGCACCAUUGUCAUUGACCCGGAAAAGGAUAAGAGCAUGGUGCAGGAUCUGCUUGAAUUUAAAGAUAAAAUGGAUUACAUUGUCCGCAAUUGCUUUGCACGCAAUGAAAAGUUCACGAAUUCGUUGCGCGAGGCCUUUGAGUUCUUUAUCAAUCAGCGAGCCAAUAAACCAGCAGAACUUAUUGCAAAAUACGUGGACAUGAAGCUACGGUCUGGCAACAAGGGCACCACGGAUGAAGAGCUUGAGAAGACAUUGGACAAGAUCAUGGUCCUGUUUCGCUUUAUACACGGCAAGGAUGUCUUUGAGGCUUUUUACAAGAAGGAUCUGGCAAAGCGAUUGCUUGUGGGCAAGUCGGCUUCCGUGGACUCGGAAAAGAGUAUGCUGUCAAAACUGAAACAAGAAUGUGGCGGAGGCUUCACGUCGAAGCUGGAGGGCAUGUUCAAGGACAUGGAACUGAGCCGCGACAUCAAUACAGCGUUCCGCGGUCACGCUCUCAGCAACAAUCGCGAUGUCCAUAACCUGGAUCUGUGCGUCAGUAUACUGACAAUGGGCUACUGGCCAACAUAUGCGCCCACGGAGGUCACAAUGCCGCCACAGCUCAUCAAUCCACAGCAGAUAUUCAACAAGUUUUAUUUGGAAAAGCAUAGCGGACGAAAGCUACAAUGGCAGCCCACGCUGGGCAACUGCAUGCUGCGUGCGCAGUUUGAGGCGGGUCCAAAAGAGCUUUUGGUUUCGCUGUUUCAGGCUCUGGUGCUGCUCUUGUUCAACGAUAAUCCGGUGCUUAGCUACGAGGAGAUAUUGGCCGCAACCAUGAUCGAGGAUGGAGAGUUGCGCCGAACACUCCAGUCGCUGGCCUGUGGACGCGCCCGAGUCAUAACGAAAACACCAAAAGGUCGCGAGAUCGAGGAUGGCGACCAGUUUGAUUUUAAUAACGAGUUCACAAACAAAUUGUUUAGAAUCAAAAUCAAUCAGAUACAGAUGAAAGAGACGAAUGAGGAACAAAAGGCGACCGAGGAGCGUGUGUUCCAGGACCGUCAAUACCAGAUAGAUGCGGCCAUUGUGCGCAUCAUGAAGAUGCGUAAAACUUUAAGCCACAAUCUACUCAUCACCGAGCUGUUCAAUCAGCUAACCUUCCCCGUCAAGCCCGCUGAUUUAAAGAAACGCAUUGAGUCGCUCAUCGAUCGAGACUACAUGGAGCGCGACAAGGAUAAUCAGAACCAGUAUAACUACGUGGCAUAACUUUUCUGGGAACGGCGAACAGAGAACACUGAUUUGAUUGUAACAUCCAUAUUUCUAUUUACCAUAUGCAUACAUACUAAAAGUCCAUUGAAUAUUUGGUGUGGUGUGUUUCUUUGCCUGUCCGGCGUUGAUUAGAGCGCCAGCCAGCCGCAUAACUAUAAUAAUGAUAUGUAGCCUCUAUGUAGUGCAGUUCCGUUGCUACAGAUUCUUUUUAGUAUGCAGGUCACGUCACCGUAUCCCCACCCGACUGUGAAAGAACCAUACAUACA